Non-coding RNA from Lolium perenne, 2569 nucleotides. The record is from RefSeq and is a predicted model, not a curated record. Lineage: Eukaryota; Viridiplantae; Streptophyta; Magnoliopsida; Poales; Poaceae.
GACAAGUUUUGAUGCUGUAACACGACUACGUACAGGAUAUUUUUUUGUCUUUUUUGUACACGCCAUACAAAAUGUUGUUUCUCCACAAAAAUUUGUGCACUAACAUAGAAUGUCAAGAUGUACACCAACAAAUUUAUAUCAGAUUUUUUAACAUUUUUAAAAUUGUUUUUUAAUUAUUUUAUAUAAUGAGAGCAUUUGCUCCUAUGAGCCAAAUUGCCACCUCCCUAGAGUAGGCAUCUAAUAAUGCAAUAUGAAGAAUAUUCUUAAAGAACUGCAAUACGAUUGGGUGCACGCUUUAUCCAUGUAAAAAAUGGAAAAUAUUGGUCUGUUUUUUAAAUUUUGUUUUCAAAGCAGAGUUGCAGUUGACAUAUAAUGCAUUUUCAUUUAACUACUUAUUCUUUAUACUGAUUUACCCAAAAAAAAAUCCCUUUCUCAGUGGUUACCAGUUUGCUUUGUUCUUACUUAUAUGGUCUUCUUUAUUCAUGAAGCACUAGAUUGUUUAUUUACAUAGAAAUCACGCCCUGUUGUGAAGAGCGUAUUGCACUGGACCCUGAGGGGUAAUUCCGUUUCCAUGAAGUUCUUCUCUAUUAGCUGCAUCAAUAAUGCUUCCUUAUGCAUGCGUUCGAUGCCAAUGGAAACCAGCAACCUAAUCCAAGCUAAAGCCUUUCGAACCUGCACUGCCAUGGAUCGUCAUAAGACACAGCCAAUCACCUAAGAGUUCAAGCAAGUGAUUUGUUGGUCCAAAAAUCUUAAAUAUAAGCUGAAGUGAGUAAUAUUGUUCACAACAUUUAAUUAUAGGCCAGAAAAUAGACUUAGGGAUAUAAAUACUACGCAUGAAACACUUGUACAUUUUUUGUAGAAGCUGUCCGGUUGAACUCUGUAAGGUUAGCUUUUUUUUACAUAUCAUGGCACAUAACAGAUUAGAUUUAAUUAUGGAUUCGUAUAAGAAAUUAUUAACCGAGAAACACUACUACAUAUCAAUUAUUCAGGUGUAGAACUAAUUAAAGUGUUCAGUGCAUCCAUCUGUAUUACAAAAGUAAUAGCUCCAUUGGCUACCUACACAUAAAACGAGAGCUUCCCUCCUAUCCAUGGUGGCAUCAUGCAGGGCUGCUUGGAAGUACGUAACCUGAUACAGCUAUUUGUUUCAUGUCAUUUUUGCGCCUUUGCAAAUAGAUGAUUAAUAGCUACCAUAAGUAACUCUAUUCAAUUCUGGGUGUUACCCAUUCACUUGGGUCGCAAGUGGCGGUGUUAUAUUUGAGAAUGCAACACUCCAACUUUGAACUAAACAUGCCUAUGACUCUAAAAGUGUUUACUUCCUCUCUUUCUAUCUUGGAGAAACCUCCGAUGCCAAAAUCGUGAGUAAAGCCAUGCUCCAGUACAUGUCAAAAAGACGCUAAUAAGGUUCAGACUAACAUCAGAAUUAAGUUGUCAGUCAUACUUCAGUGGUUCUCUGUAUAUCUGAAGUUGCUAGCUGUUUCUUUUAUAGAACUUAUAAAUUGGAGUGUACUUCCAGCCGGCUAUGCUUAUGGUUGUUUAAUUUGGUCCUAUGUCAAUGUAGUAUCAAAUAAUUUGUUUUCUGUGUUUUUUGAGAGAGCUUUCACCUGAUGGCAACAUCUCAGACUUGAUGGAAACUCCUUUUGACAGAGGUCUCAUGCUUAUCACGUAAGGCUAUAGGCCCAAGUUAAGACCUCAUUAACUGAUUGCUGCAAUUCUGCAGCAUAUAUAGCUCAAUGGAGCCAUACCUCUAAUUUUUGGAAAGAUGAUGAUGACAAAUUGACAUUUCCAGGUACGGAACCACUCCCAUGUGAUUUAGCUUAUUCUUCUAUGUACGAUACAUUCACCUUCCACUGCAACGAGGUGUGUGAGGUUGGCAUGAUGCUAUGAGAAGGUUGACCCUAGCCUCCAGUGGCUCUCCCUUCCUCGAGAUGGCAGGCUCAUACGGCACCGGCAGAAAGCCUGCUGCAUCUCAAGCCGGUGCUUGAAAUGGGGGUUCCGAUCCUGUCCACGUCGAGCUCGCCUAGCGCCUGCUCGCCCGCCGCUGAGAUAUAUGAUUUGAUUUCCCGUGGGGAGAAGAAGAGAAGACAGAUAGGCAGAUCUAUGGGAAAAUUUCUGAAUACAUGCAUCUGGUGUGCCAUUAUUUUUUCAGGUAUGGAGCCACUCCCAUGUGAUUUAGCUUAAUAUUCUGCGUACGAUACCUUCACCUUCCACUGCAACGGGGUGUAUGAGGUUGGCCUGAUGCUAUGAGAGAUACUAACUAUCUCAGCGGGUUGACCUCCAGUGGAUCUACCUUCUUCGAGAUGGCGGACCCAUAUGGCACCGGCAGAAAGCCCAAGCAGCAUCUGAAGCUGGCGCUUGUGAUGGAGGCUCUGAUCCCAUCCACAUCGAGCUUGCCUAGCACCCAGUUAGUGCCGAGGAACUUGAAAAAUCAGCAAAGAUGAAAUUUCUGAUUCUAGAAGGUUUUAAGUGUCAAACGACAAUUGUAUUAAUCAUCUGGCACUUUUUCAAAUCAGUGGAAGUAGUAUAUUUAAAACUAUUUUCAUGAUUGUAUAUAAGUAUUGUUGUUCUGUUU